GCGAUCAUAUCAACACUAAUGCACCGGAUCUUAUCAGAACUCCAUAGUUAAACAUGCUUUGGCAGGAGUAGUACUAGGAUUGGUGAUCUCCUGGAAAGUCCUCGUGUUGCACCA
This is a non-coding RNA of Populus tomentosa, 114 nucleotides long. Lineage: Eukaryota; Viridiplantae; Streptophyta; Magnoliopsida; Malpighiales; Salicaceae. The record is from the annotation of a GenBank genome assembly.